CCCUUAGAUGUUCUGGGCCGCACGCGCGCUACACUGAUGCAUUCAACGAGCCUAUCCUUGACCGACAGGUCCGGGUAAUCUUUGAAUCUGCAUCGUGACGGGGGUAGAUUAUUGCAAUUAUUAAUCUUCAACGAGGAAUGCCUAGUAGGCGCAAGUCAUCAGCUUGCGUCGAUUACGUCCCUGCCCUUUGUACACACCGCCCGUCGCUCCUACCGAUUGGGUGUGCUGGUGAAAUGUUCGGAUCGGCCGUUUGUCGCGGUUUCCGCGGCUCGUGGCUGGGAAGUUCAUUAAACCCUCCCACCUAGAGGAAGGAGAAGUCGUAACA
Molecule: ribosomal RNA, 325 nt
Filed under: uncultured eukaryote
Lineage: Eukaryota
Description: partial 18S ribosomal RNA
Rfam family: Eukaryotic small subunit ribosomal RNA
Source: RNAcentral